Apteryx owenii (little spotted kiwi) is the source of this 785-nucleotide long non-coding RNA. NCBI's taxonomy places the organism in Eukaryota, Metazoa, Chordata, Aves, Apterygiformes, Apterygidae. The record is from Ensembl.
AUGCACUGGGCUGAGCCCUGGUGGGUGCAGAGGCGGUUCGGCUGCAGGGGGAGCGACCUGUGCCAGGACUCGAGGGAGCAGAUCCCGACCAGACACCACGGAGGAGAAGAAGGGACUGGACCCACAGCCAGACUCUGUCCUCUGUCAGCAUGUCCAAGUUCCAUAAGGUUUUGGGCCCAAGCCCUCAGCUGUAGACCAGAGCUGCUCACAGGUGGCACUCAAGUGUGGACCUGCCACAUCGCUCCCCAAACCAGAGUCUCCUCCUUUGGGUUUUGGGGGGCCCCCGCUCCCCAGCCUCGUGGGGGAGCCCCUCCCUGGCAGUGGGGCCUCCCCCCAGGAAACGCCGAUGACCAGCCACCCUCCAGCUCGCCCUCGCCAGCCCUCCUGACCCACCGCUGGCAGGAGGCACCGCCAAUUCCAUUUGUUAAACAGUUUUUUUUUUUUUUAAGUGUAAAUGAUAAUAAUAAAAUUCCACGAGUCUUUCUUUUUUUUUCUCUUUUCUCUCCCCUCAGGAUAAAUUUUAUGCGGCUGGCAGUUAAAAUAAGCGAUUACCCCAUAAAUACCAUCUUAAUAGCCUCGUCAACGCUACGGCCUCCGCUGUCCUGAGAUUUUUAUCUCAGGAAAGGGGGAGGGAGGGAGAGAGAAAACCACAACCCUUUAGAGCGCUGCGGCGGCGGCUGCCGCCGCUCGUUACUCGCUGCGUAGCUGGGGGGGCGGAGGGCUCCCCCCUUCCCCCGGGGGCAGCCGCGGGGCCGCCCCCUCCCCCGGCGUGGCCGUUGGCGUGG